This 497-nucleotide ribosomal RNA is filed under the name uncultured bacterium. Its description in RNAcentral is "partial 16S ribosomal RNA". It matches the Rfam family "Bacterial small subunit ribosomal RNA", at positions 28 to 507 of the family's 1533-position model. The record is from RNAcentral.
GAUGAACGCUGGCGGCGUGCCUAAUACAUGCAAGUCGAGCGAACAGACGAGGAGCUUGCUCCUCUGACGUUAGCGGCGGACGGGUGAGUAACACGUGGAUAACGUACCUAUAAGACUGGGAUAACUUCGGGAAACCGGAGAUAAUACCGGAUAAUAUAUUGAACCGCAUGGGUCAAUAGUGAAAGACGGUUUUGCUGUCACUUAUAGAUGGAUCCGCGCCGCAUUAGCUAGUUGGUAAGGUAACGGGUUACCAAGGCAACGAUGCGUAUCCGACCUGAGAGGGUGAUCGGCCACCCUGGAACUGGGCCACGGUCCAGACUCCUACGGGAGGCAGCAGUAGCGAAUCUUCCGCAAUGGGCGAAAGCCUGACGGAGCAACGCCGCGUGAGUGAUGAAGGUCUCCCGAUCGUAAAGCUCUGUUAUUAGGGAAGAACAAAUGUGUAAGUAACUAUGCACGUCUUGACGGUACCUAAUCAGAAAGCCCCGGCUAACUACGUG